This 253-nucleotide ribosomal RNA is filed under the name uncultured bacterium. RNAcentral describes it as "partial 16S ribosomal RNA". It matches the Rfam family "Bacterial small subunit ribosomal RNA", at positions 524 to 776 of the family's 1533-position model. The record is from RNAcentral.
UACGAAGGCCCCAAGCGUUAUCCGGAUUUAUUGGGCGUAAAGCGUUCAACGGUGGUUUGGAAAGUACCUGGUCAAAUCCGAUGGCUUAACUGUCGGGCUGCCGGGUAGACUUCCAGACUUGAGGCCGGAAGAGGCAAGCGGAACUACCGGUGUAGUGGUAAAAUGCGUUAAUAUCGGUAGGAACACCAAAGGCGAAGGCAGCUUGCUGGUACGAGCCUGACACUAAAGAACGAAAGCGUGGGGAGCGAAUGGG